This 253-nucleotide ribosomal RNA is filed under the name uncultured bacterium. RNAcentral's name for it is "partial 16S ribosomal RNA". It matches the Rfam family "Bacterial small subunit ribosomal RNA", at positions 524 to 776 of the family's 1533-position model. The record is from RNAcentral.
GACGAACCGUGCAAACGUUGUUCGGAAUCACUGGGCUUAAAGGGCGCGUAGGCGGUCGAUCACGUCCGGGGUGAAAUCUUUCGGCUUAACCGGAAAAGGGCCUUGGAUACGGAUCGGCUGGAGGGAGGUAGGGGCAGGUGGAACUUCCAGUGGAGCGGUGAAAUGCGUUGAUAUUGGAAGGAACGCCGGUGGCGAAAGCGACGCACUGGACCUCUUCUGACGCUGAGGCGCGAAAGCCAGGGGAGCAAACGGG